Molecule: ribosomal RNA, 174 nt
Filed under: uncultured bacterium
Lineage: Bacteria
Description: partial 16S ribosomal RNA
Rfam family: Bacterial small subunit ribosomal RNA
Source: RNAcentral
ACUCCUACGGGAGGCAGCAGUGAGGAAUAUUGGUCAAUGGACGGAAGUCUGAACCAGCCAAGUCGCGUGCAGGAUGACGGCGCUCUGCGUUGUAAACUGCUUUUAUAUAGGAAUAAAACACCUACGUGUAGUGUCUUGCAGGUACUAUAUGAAUAAGGAUCGGCUAACUCCGUG